RNAcentral lists this ribosomal RNA (483 nucleotides) under uncultured bacterium. RNAcentral's name for it is "partial 16S ribosomal RNA". It matches the Rfam family "Bacterial small subunit ribosomal RNA", at positions 30 to 507 of the family's 1533-position model. The record is from RNAcentral.
AUUGAACGCUGGCGGCAGGCCUAACACAUGCAAGUCGAGCGGAUGAAGGGAGCUUGCUCCUGGAUUCAGCGGCGGACGGGUGAGUAAUGCCUAGGAAUCUGCCUGGUAGUGGGGGAUAACGUCCGGAAACGGGCGCUAAUACCGCAUACGUCCUGAGGGAGAAAGUGGGGGAUCUUCGGACCUCACGCUAUCAGAUGAGCCUAGGUCGGAUUAGCUAGUUGGUGGGGUAAAGGCCUACCAAGGCGACGAUCCGUAACUGGUCUGAGAGGAUGAUCAGUCACACUGGAACUGAGACACGGUCCAGACUCCUACGGUAGGCAGCAGUGGGGAAUAUUGGACAAUGGGCGAAAGCCUGAUCCAGCCAUGCCGCGUGUGUGAAGAAGGUCUUCGGAUUGUAAAGCACUUUAAGUUGGGAGGAAGGCAGUAAGUUAAUACCUUGCUGUUUUGACGUUACCAACAGAAUAAGCACCGGCUAACUUCGUG